GACGAACGCUGGCGGCGUGCUUAACACAUGCCAGUCGAACGGAAGGGCCCUGCUUUUGUGGGGUGCUCGAGUGGCGAACGGGUGUGUAACACGUGAGUAACCUGCACUUGACUUUGGGAUAACUUCAGGAAACUGGGGCUAAUACCGGAUAGGAGCUCCUGCUGCAUGGUGGGGGUUGGAAAGUUUCGGCGGUUGGGGAUGGACUCGCGGCUUAUCAGCUUGUUGGUGGGGUAGGGGUUUACCAAGGCUUUGACGGGUAGCCGGCCUGAGAGGGUGACCGGCCUCCAGGGGCCUGAGAGACGGACCAGACUCCUACGGGAGGCAGCAGGGGGGAAUAUUGCACAACGGGGGGAAGCCUGAGGCAGCAACGCCGCGUGCGGGAUGACGGCCUUCGGGUUGUAAACCGCUGUCGCCGGUGACGAAGCGUGAGUGACGGUAAUGGGUAAAGAAGCACCGGCUAACUACGUG
Molecule: ribosomal RNA, 468 nt
Filed under: uncultured bacterium
Lineage: Bacteria
Description: partial 16S ribosomal RNA
Rfam family: Bacterial small subunit ribosomal RNA
Source: RNAcentral